UCGAAACCUGCCCAGCAGAGCGACCCGUGAACAUGUUUAAAAUCAUGGGUGUUGGGGUGUUGCUAGGUGCCAUGUGUGUCUGCUCACCCCUAUCCCAAGCCGAGGGGCGGUCUCUUGUGGGCUGCUCCCUUAGCACAACAACGAACCCCGGCGCGUAAUGCGUCAAGGAAUACAAACAUUAUGUGUGUGCUCUCCUUCUGCCCGGUUAGCCGUGCGUUGGAGUGGUGCCAUGUCUUAACAAUA
RNAcentral lists this ribosomal RNA (243 nucleotides) under Silene coeli-rosa. Lineage: Eukaryota; Viridiplantae; Streptophyta; Magnoliopsida; Caryophyllales; Caryophyllaceae. The record is from RNAcentral.